RNAcentral lists this ribosomal RNA (509 nucleotides) under uncultured bacterium. Its description in RNAcentral is "bacterial SSU rRNA". It matches the Rfam family "Bacterial small subunit ribosomal RNA", at positions 46 to 528 of the family's 1533-position model. The record is from RNAcentral.
GGAUUGGCAUGCAAGUCGAACGAGAAAGCUCCCUUCGGGGAGUGAGUAUAGUGGCGAACGGGUGAGUAACGCGUGGGAAACCUGCCCCUCAGUGGGGGAUAACAGUUCUAACGGACUGCUAAUACCGCAUAUCGCCUAGCGAUCACAUGAUCGAAAGGUGAAAGGUGGCCUCUACAUGUAAGCUGCCGCUGGGGGAUGGUCCCGCGUCCCAUUAGCUUGUUGGUAGGGUAACGGCCUACCAAGGCGACGAUGGGUAGCCGGCCUGAGAGGGUGUCCGGCCACACUGGGACUGAGAUACGGCCCAGACUCCUACGGGAGGCAGCAGUCGAGAAGCUUCGGCAAUGGGCGAAAGCCUGACCGAGCGACGCCGCGUGAGCGAUGAAGGCCUUACAGGUUGUAAAGCUCUGUCAGAUUGGGAAGAAAACUCCGGGAUUAAUACCUCCGGAGCUUGACGGUACCAUCAGAGGAAGCACCGGCUUAACUCCGUGCCAGCAGCCGCGGUAAUACGG